This 368-nucleotide ribosomal RNA is filed under the name uncultured organism. RNAcentral's name for it is "bacterial LSU rRNA". It matches the Rfam family "Bacterial large subunit ribosomal RNA", at positions 2099 to 2465 of the family's 2925-position model. The record is from RNAcentral.
CUUGACUGUAUCCUGGAAUUGGGUUCGGGCUUUUCUUGCGCAGCCUAGGUGGGAGGCUAUGAAGAUUUCCUUCCGGGGAAGUUGGAGCCAUCAGUGAGAGACCACUCUGGAGAGGCUAGAAUCCUAAUGGUGAUCCUUGAAUCAGGACACUUGACAGUUUCAGGUGGGCAGUUUUUCUGGGGCGGAAGCCUCAUAAAGGGUAACUGAGGCGCGCAAAGGUCCCCUCAGUCUGGACGGAAAUCAGACAACGAGUGUAAAGGCAGAAGGGAGCUUGACUGUGAGACCUACAAGUCGAACAGGGACGAAAGUCGGCCUUAGUGAUCCGACGGUUCUGAGUGGAAGGGCCGUCGCUCAACGGAUAAAAGUUA